Mytilus trossulus (common blue mussel) is the source of this 506-nucleotide long non-coding RNA. RefSeq lists it as uncharacterized. The transcript is spliced from 3 exons. NCBI's taxonomy places the organism in Eukaryota, Metazoa, Mollusca, Bivalvia, Mytilida, Mytilidae. The record is from RefSeq and is a predicted model, not a curated record.
CCUGAAGAAUAAUAUGGUAAAAUUUGUCAGUUCUGACCAAUCACAUCAAAACGACUUUCAGACGACUGGCUGUUAAGAUACUAAUGUCACUCGGGUUUUAGAAAUGAGGAUUUUAGCAGUACUACUGCUAUGUGCAUUUGUGAGACCAGGCGACCAGCGACUGAAGACUUAUUGUUUCGAUUAUCCAAUACUUCCAUAUUAUACAGACGCUUACUUACCUAUUAAUGAGUGUUAUUUUCUGCGGAAGGGUCCACAAUACGAACUCUUCUUCAUGCUUCUCCUGUUGUUUCCGGGGAGUGAAGACAUGAUCGACAGUGUUAUUGCGGCACCACCCCCAUCACCAACAUGACGAACAGAGAGAUGAUUAUUGUCAGAUUGAUGUUUAAUUUUGAAAUGCAACAUUUGGUUAAACUUUACUAUAUGACUUUUUUGCUGUAAAUGUGAACUUGAUGCUACUCGAGUACAUGAUUUAAGGGAAUAAACUGGGGGUAAAUAACAAAUGUGAC